RNAcentral lists this ribosomal RNA (539 nucleotides) under uncultured bacterium. RNAcentral's name for it is "bacterial SSU rRNA". It matches the Rfam family "Bacterial small subunit ribosomal RNA", at positions 777 to 1314 of the family's 1533-position model. The record is from RNAcentral.
AAUAGAUACCUUGGUAGUCCACGCCGUAAACGGUGCAUACUAGGUGUAGGGGGUAUCGACCCCCCUGUGCCGACGGUAACCCAUUAAGUAUGCCGCCUGGGGAGUACGACCGCAAGGUUGAAACUCAAAGGAAUUGACGGGGGCCCGCACAAGCGGUGGAGGAUGUUGUUUAAUUCGACGCAACGCGAAGAACCUUACCUGGGCUUGAACUGCGGAGUAAACUCCUGGAAACAGGGGCUGGGGCAACCCGAUUCCGUAGAGGUGCUGCAUGGCUGUCGUCAGCUCGUGCCGUGAGGUGUUGGGUUAAGUCCCGCAACGAGCGCAACCCUUAUUUCUAGUUGCCAGCAUGUAAUGGUGGGACUCUAGAAAGACUGCCCGCGCAAGCGGAGAGGAAGGAGGGGAUGACGUCAAGUCAUCAUGGCCCUUAGCCCAGGGCUACACACGUGCUACAAUGGCGCAUACAAAAGUGUUGCAAAUCCGGUGACGGAAAGCCAAUCACAAAAAAGUGCGUCUCAGUUCGGAUUGCAGGCUGCAACUCG